CCGCUCCAGGCCACUUACAUUCAGGCUCCCGCUCCUCCGCCAUCGCUUCCUUCCCUCCAGCUGCCUGGGCUGGGCUGUCGCCGUGGAAACCACAAACAUUCUAAGCCCUCCUUGGCUUCCUUCACUGCUGAGCAACCAGGCACAGCCCCUGCUGCGGAACCUCCCCCCAACUCCUCCCCUCUUCUGUGCCUUCUGAAACAGAGUAUUGCCAGAAAGAGAGUACUGGAAGGGCGAUUCUGCUGGUUCUUAGAAGUAACUUUGACACCAACCCUCACUACUUACAGCUCUGAAAUUAGAGAGACGGUGAUGUAGGCAUUACUGGUUGUGAGGAUGGAAUUACACGGACUGCAGAAAUGCACAAUGAAUCCCCUACUUUAAAAAUGCUCGGUGAAGAGGAGACCACUGGGGAGUAAAAUGCAGUGUGAUGUGAGCAGCAGUGGAGAUGGGCGUGGACCGGCAGAGGAAGGAGUGAAGGAUUCUCAUCUCAUGGGCUGCGGAGGCUUCCAGAAAUACCACCUGUUCCAGUUGUGCAGGAUGGGCGAGCGGGAGUUCCUUGUCAAUCAUGGGGGAGGGUCGGGGAGCAUCAGUCAGAAGAACUGAUGGGUUCCAAAAGGGAAGAGGUCACAAAUAAGUGAUUCCAGUUACUGCUUUUCAGCUAUUAGAAUCUGCUGUGCAAAAACGAACCGACUUGCAAUAACUUAAAACAUCUUUGUGCUUCCUAAGCUCUGGAGAAACUGAAUAAUGCUUUUAAGAAAUUUUAGGUAGAAUGCAAAGCAAA
This is a long non-coding RNA of Gorilla gorilla gorilla (western lowland gorilla), 778 nucleotides long. RefSeq lists it as uncharacterized. The transcript has 3 exons. Lineage: Eukaryota; Metazoa; Chordata; Mammalia; Primates; Hominidae. The record is from RefSeq and is a predicted model, not a curated record.